GAUCUUGCUUACUCUUGCCAAAUUCUCCAAAGUUGCCGAUCCCAUCUUUGAGGGUAUGAAUGCCAAAGUGUUUUUUAGUUUUUUUUCCCGUGCAAUAUGAAAACUAGUUGUUGCUUAACUAACUUGUCCUUAUCCUAAUUAAAGAAAACGUCCUUGUUUAAUUUGAAAACCACAAUUUAUAUAUAAAAAAUGGUUGUUGUACUUUCCAGGCGAGGUCCAUUGGAUCCAGCUGACCACCCCAUGCAGCCCUGGUCGGGUCAUUACUCUCCACCUCCCCAGACCCAACAAGCAUACCCCCAGUCCCCAUCCUACCACAACCCCAACUCUGCACCACCUUAUUCGGGCUACCCACCUGGCCAGCCAUAUGCACGGCCAGUGGACCCUCGGGGCAUGGACCCAGGGUACUACCCUCACCCAAGCUCCCAGCAGAGAGGCCCCUUACGGCAGGAUGUGCCCCCCUCUCCCAUCCCCCCUCUCCGUGGUCCACGGUACGACACUAUGACAAGAGGAUCAGGGGGAGGAGUCUACAGGUAGGGGAUUUGUGGAAGAACAUGAUUCCAGGCACAUGGUGAAUCCUAGUCCAGACCAAUAUGGCUACACUGGGGAGGGAGGAAGACAGCAACCGCAACACCAAACCAACCAGAGACAGAAGAAUGCCAUGACUGCAGCCGUGUAGACUGAUCAGUUCCAGAGAUGAAAAUGAGCAGAAUGCUUACUGCUUUGUGUUGUUUUCGCUGAUGCUGAUGCUUCUGGUACUGAAAAUGAAACAGAACUGACACCUCUAAAUGGUGUUAUUUGAAUCACCAUCAUUAUCAAACAUUGUCUGAGCUGUUUGAAGUAUAUGGUAAUACACAGACAAGCAAGGUAAAGGAGGUUAAUUAUAGAGUGGCCAGUGUGUGCAUGGUAUCUUGUUCUUUGAAGUCAUUUAAAUUGCUUUGAAUCUUCAGAGAGUACAAAUUGGCAGGGGUUUUACAAUUGACUGUGCUCUGCGCUACAAAGGUUUUGGAUCCAUUUAAAUGAAGGCAAUAAAGAAAUACAAGCAGCUCUACUCAUAUUAAAUUAGGUACUUUCAUUUCUACUGCUGCAUGAGCAAGACAAAUGAAUGUUUGAAAACUAACAUGUAACAUGUUUUGCUGCCCUGUGGCCAUACUGUAUGUGGCCUAAUAACAGAAAUCAGUGGCACACUAAAGGGUCAGUAUUUUGGUCGGUUAAUCCCAGAUUUUAAAUUCAUGUUUACAUGAAAGCGUUUGGCAGGGUUUCAGCCACCUCUCAAAGUUGAGUUGAGAGAAGUGAAAAUGUUCCUGUGUUCUAAACCUGUGUGGAAAGCAAGAAGUCUUUCUUAACUUUGUAAGUAACCACUACUUAAAACAAAUUCUGCAUCAAUAGACAGUAUAUUGAUCCAUCCCAAGUUCAUAAAAAAAACUCUAAAAAGCGUUUACAUUUCAGCCACGGAUAUGUUUUUAUCUAAAGUAAGUAUUUUUCGUCUGAAUUCCCCAAGCAGGGAAAACUCCCCUUUGUAAAAUAACGUGUUUUAUACUGGUGACUAAUCUGACGUUUAAAUGACAGUAUAUUUUUUAUCAAUGAUUUUUAGAAAGUUUAACAUGUCACACCAGGGCUCAGUCCCAAUAUACCCCUUGUCCCAAUAUAACCACUUAGCCCUACCCCUACAUUUUGAGCGUUCACGUCUAGGGGUAAAUUUGUCAUGAGAAAUUUCCCAGAAUGCCUAUCCUUUACAUCGGCGUGUCUGUAACUACCGUCAAUGUCUACUGAUGACGUAUCAGGGUCUUAAAGGGUCGUCCCAUUAAGUAGGGGGAGUUUUCAACACUACCCCUUAUAACUCUGUUCAGAGGCGGAAAUGGACACACUAGGUACUGAGCCUUACACUAUGAAUUAACUUUUGGUCAAUUCUUUGAAUUAUAAAAUUUAAUAAUGUGUUUUAUACAGAAUGAUUUGAUUACCUUUCAUUUUCAACCAAAAUAUUUCUCUCAGCAGAGAUGAGUAGCCCAGGACUGGACAAAGUAGUCUGAACAAUGUCUGGAUUGUACAGCAUGUACAGAUGGCCCUGUUCCUUUUUUUAAAGUGAUCCUGUGAAACACUUCGACUGUAGAAGUACUGAACCUCCAAAUAUCAAUCAUUUAAUUACUCUCAAGAAAUCUUAUCUGGAAUGAAACUGCAUUUAUCUUUGAAGAGAAAACUUUGUUUAAACUUACUUCUAUUUGAAUGUAUGAAAACUUCUUGGAUUAUCUAGUCACAGUUAUUUGUAUUUAAUCCACGGAGUCUAUCUGUGAAAAACCUAAUUGGUGAGAGUUUUCUCUUUUCACAAGAUGAGAGCCACAUUUUCUAACUCUUGAAUCAAUCUUCUACAAACAUUGACAUCAUGGAUGAAACUUUUUAAGUUUGGAUGAGUUAUGGAUGAAACUUUUUAAGUUUUUAAGUUUCAUCCAUUGAAUUAAUAUGAAAGGACAGGAAGUAGAAUCUAAGCAACAUAACACACGCAGCAAAGCAACACUUAAUUUACACCAUAGUCGAUUUGUAUGGCGGCCUUUUCCUCUACUGAAAGUAUAAUCUCUUUAUAACAACCUCGAUGCAUGUGAAAAUUGUUCUUUACCUAACAAAGAGCAAUGUAUCAUUGUGCGAUGUGAGAAAUGAGAAAUGAGCAAAAAAGCCAAUAAUGUUGGUAAAGUUGAUUACUACACAUCGUUUAUAACCACUUUCCACUUAGAUGGACCACUGUGUCGUGUAUUAGUCCUGUACCAUUUUUACACUAGAGCAGAGUAGUUCCUGACCAUAAAAACAUUACUGUUUAAACAAAAGACAAAAAAAGUCUCUCUUCUUUUGGCAGAUGUCCAGUUUCAAACUCAUUUUCACUCUGUAAAACCUUUCAGCCUCUUUUUUUUCUUUGUGAUGUCUGUGUAUGCCAUGUACUGUAGUUGGAUGUAAUGGAUGAUCACUGCACAUAUCUGUGACCUGGUGGUGUAGGCGUCACUGUGUGCUAAAGUGGACACAAGGCCUGUUGAAACAUGGAUUGAGCCUCUGAGUGCUCUUUUUAAUGCUGCACCAAUGGUUGAUAUCCAUUUAGCCACUUACUGAACCACCAAUUAAGUGUAACUAAAGAGUCAGAGCCUAGCUUAAUAGUUAUAUGUUUUAUCCCACAAAGCUCCGCAGUAUUCAUUUCAAUGGAGAUUAAACACUAAAAAUGACAUUUCAGGAUUAGGUGAAAUGCUUCUCUGUUAAUGUGACUGAGGAUGAAAUCCCACUGAAGUGAAUGUUGAGUGUCUUUUGACUGAAACCAAUGCAAAGAAUGUGAAGUAGAUUUCAUUUCAAAACCAUCUCAGUAGUAUGUUUGAUGGAUUUUGAUCGUGUUGAAAGAGGGAAGUUGCAGGUUGGAUGAGAUGAGUUAAAAAAUAGACAAGAAAAGUAGUGAAAGGACGGAAGAAAGGACCGGAAAUGAGGGUUUGGUAGUGAAGCAAGGAAGGGGGAAAUAAACUUUAGUAUGUAGGGAAGGAUGAAGUGUAUUGCUAAAAAGAGAUUAAAGAAACAAACAUUAGGCUGAAAUAAUAGAAGGAUGGAGGAAGGUGAGAGAAUUGGUAUGAUCAGAUGCAGUGCAAUGACCCAAAAGCCUUUGUGGUUUGAAUCGGAGAGUUUUCAAACAAGAGCAGAACAAAGAAAAAGGAUAAAAGUUCAUAACAAUCUGGGCGUCAGUUGAUCUUCAGUAGGAGGAGGGUCACUGGAGUGGGCUUGUAUUGAUUGAAUGUUGUGACUGUGGGAAUUACUAACAAAUACUUUCUUGUGCUGUUAUGAAUUUAAAGAACCAGUUUGAAAAAUGAGACUUUCAAAUAAUACUGUCAAAGUAUAAUGAAUGUACCAAAAUAUGCAAUAUUUUAUGGAGGUUGGCUUGGUGGUCAACUCGCAGAGAGCUAAUGUCAAAACAAUCCAAAUGCUUUAUGAGCGCAUUCUCUCCAAGUUAUUAUUCAGUGCGUUUACAUGCGGUUAGAAAACUUCAAUUUAUUGUGUGCUGUCUGACAUAAACUGGAUUUUUGAAAUAAGCGUAAACAUGUUAGUCCGACGGUACUCAAUUGAAUUACUAGAAGUUGGACUGAAACACCUAGAAAAUGAAUGAAUAAUGCAGCUGUAGGUUGAAUAAAUGUUGCGUAUAAACACCUCAAUCAGACCCAAACUGGACUAGGUGUUCUGGACAUGCUCCACAGUCCCCACUCCGGACUUUUACCCCGGAAUUUGAUAAGUGUGUAACAUAGCAUCACAUAUCACCAUAAAAAGGAUAGCGUCCAUGGCAUUAGAAUCAAAAGUAAAGCACAGAGUAUGUACGAAAUGUACAGAGCUGUAAAAAUGUUUUCAUUUUCACCGUUCGACAUACAACCACCACUUUGCCGUUUGCUAACUUGCUAACUCAUUAACAAGGUCAACCGGAAGCAGGUCCAAUAGUAAGGAGCUAAUAUAAUAUAUCGCCACCUUCCAUAUCAGAGUUGCACAUUUUUCACUCAGUAAAUCGAAUCUCCCUCUGUGCAUGUAUACUGGGACACGGACAGUAUUCCAAUUCAAUGGCCUAAUGGAGCUUAGCUGAGCCUAGCUCGGCUUAACUGUGCAUGUAAACAUACUUAUUGGCUCGUACAGAAGCACCAACAGUAGAGGAAUAGUGUUCCUAGCCUUACUCUAGAUGUGAAACAUUUCAAUAGUUUAAAAUAAAGUUGUUGUUUUGAAUGUACUGGAGAACAGUUAAAGUUAUAUACAAUCUGAUCAGAAAAUAGCAGAUUGUGUAUACUUGUAUUCUGAAUCUGUAGCCAGUAUACCAAACCAGUGUUUGCUGUGCAGAACCAAAAGGUCAGUUAUGAGUUUAGAUGAAUUCCAUCCAUUAAAGGGUUAGCAUGAAGAAAAGAAGAAAAUCAUCAGCUGGUGUCUCCUUGACUAAUUUGGCG
Molecule: non-coding RNA, 4934 nt
Organism: Labrus bergylta (ballan wrasse)
Lineage: Eukaryota; Metazoa; Chordata; Actinopteri; Labriformes; Labridae
Source: RefSeq, a predicted model, not a curated record